GUAAGCAGAACUUUAAAACAUAACUUUUUUUAAAAAGCACAUAUAUAUCAGAUAUAGUAGCCUACAUGCUCAAAUAGCCUACAGUAAAAUGUCGAAGUGCUUCGCCAAAUAAGUAAAAUCGAUCACAAAGAAAUCGCAAUCAUAUUAAAACAGUUUCAUCUGAAAUGCAUUAGACUUUUUGUGGAAAAACUAAUCAGUGGGUACCUAGAAGUUUACAUGCACUAAAGGAAGAACCUUUAAAAAAAACUAGUAACAUGGUUUUGGUGGGCCGCAAUUGGAAAGAGUAACGUUUAAAAUCAGAAAAGAGUAACGUUUAAAAUCAGAGACAUUCCCCCCGCCCCCCGGAAUUCAGCCGUUUGGUCGAGCCCAGCGGGCGGGAAGCAACUUCAAACAAACAAAAGCCAACAGAAAGCCUCAGCAGGAAGUCACCGCCUUCGUGGAGUAGUCUGCAUCAUUACACUUGCCACUUACUGUUGCUGGUCCAAGAAUGAUCUGGAACUAACAUCUACGGUCCUAUGAGGUGACAACUGCAAACACAAGCCUGUCGAUCCACCUGCAGUCUGGUCUGAAUGACACAGUCCCUCUUCCAGCAUACAAGAUAGACGGCUCGCUGCUGCUAACCCUCAAACGGUUCAUUCAAGUGAGACAGAACUAAGUAGCACAAUGGCAGCUUCAUCCCCUGAACCAAUGAUUCUACGUGUUGUUGAGCCAGACCAGGCUAGAAAAUUAAAACUCAACUCACGACCAGCCUCUGUUGAUGCACUGAUCAAUAUUCUAAAAGAACAGCUGGACAUUGACCUUGACUUUGAUUUACUUUAUGAAGAUCCAGACUUCGAUGGAAAACUUACAUCCCUGAAAGACAUUGAGGAAUUGCCACAAAAAGCAGUUGUGCACAUUUCACUUUCACAAGACUCCAGUUCUAUUGCAUCUACUAUUCUGCUUUCAGAUGUGUCCUCUCCAGAGCGUCUCAGCAGGUGGCCUACGGGACCUUUUCCAGUUCCCACCUUUGCUUUUGAUGUUGAGCUGAAACUUAGAGAUGGGAAUGCGGAAUAUGAGAAGAACCACACACCCCUUAAAGUGACAAGAGACCUAAAGCAUAACAUUUUAGAAAAGCUUGCAUCUACUAUAUAUGGUUUUAAAGCUUACGCAAGUGAUAAAGACAUCGCAAUGGCUGCUGAGGCUCUUGUAGCCAAACAUCCCUGCCUGAAGGAAGCAGGAUCUGAGAGUGGCUGGAAUGGAUGGAAAUACAGCCUCAAGUUCAAAAUGGGCAAUUACAGGAACAAGAUGAGGCGUGCUGGAUGUCAGGAGGUCACCGUUAAUGCUGGAAGAAGAAGUAGAAGUAAUCCUGAAAAUGAACCUUCACAUUCCAACAUUAAAAGACCCAAGCGAGCAGAAGUGAACUUCCUACCCAACUUUGCCCAAGGAAAGGAUCCUUCAAGCCUUGAGGAGUUGAGGCAGACAAUUGUUGAGGAAGUCAAGAAGACUGAGAAGGACCUGCCCCUCAUUAGAAAGAUGAUGGAGACCACAUU
Long non-coding RNA from Alosa alosa (allis shad), 1529 nucleotides. RefSeq lists it as uncharacterized. The transcript has 4 exons. Lineage: Eukaryota; Metazoa; Chordata; Actinopteri; Clupeiformes; Clupeidae. The record is from RefSeq and is a predicted model, not a curated record.